Panonychus citri (citrus red mite) is the source of this 3510-nucleotide long non-coding RNA. RefSeq lists it as uncharacterized. The transcript is spliced from 5 exons. Lineage: Eukaryota; Metazoa; Arthropoda; Arachnida; Trombidiformes; Tetranychidae. The record is from RefSeq and is a predicted model, not a curated record.
UAACUUUAAAUAUUUUCUUUUCUUUUUUAAAUUUUUGUCAAUUUAACUAAAUUGUUUCGUUUUUAAUUAGAGUUUAAUUUAUAUUCCAAGAUUUUCUCUAAUUAAUUUUAGUUGAUUCAAAUUUUCGAAAAAUGUGAUGAUUUUGUAGUUUUGUCAACUAAUUGGAAUACUUUGGUUUACAUGAUAGUAAUUUGAAUGAUUCUUUCUGGGAUUAUUGAUUGUUUGUCUUGAUUCAAUUUCUUUUGGUUGAUCGUUUGGGUUAAUUGUUGUGUUUUUAAUUGACCUACGGAUUUAAGGUGAUAAUUGAAUUCACCAUGUUUACAUUGGAGAGGGUUAAUGGUCCAUCACUUGAUUCUAAUCAGAAUGUAUCCAAAAUGAUUUAAAUCAACUUUAGCUGAAGGCAAUGAAUAAGGAUGGUUGGUAAAUCAACUGGAAGAUAAUCUGUACUCACUUUGCUCCUUCAAUCGUUAUUCUCACCACCAUUAACUAUGCAAAAGCCACAAAGAGAGGAAGAAAACAAUCUUCUCUCCUCCUCCCAUUAUUCUCAUCUAAAACUCAUGAUAAUACAUAUCCUGGAUUCCAUUUGAAGGUCAGAUAAUGAUCUCUAUUGGACUAACACAUUCUGUUUAAUCAUCUUAACGUUAAUCAUCAUGAAAAUCACACUGACAAAAAAAAAGGAUUCGGAUUAACAAGUAACCAACUCUUUUUGGAAGACAAUAAUCACAAGACGAUGGAAAUGGUAAAACUUAAUAUAACUGUCACUUAUUAUCAUGUGAUGUUCAAGUCAAUAUUUCAAAUCAUGAUGAUCAUUAUCCUGAUCAUCAUGUAGCAGACAAAGAGGAUGGAGAGGAGGAGGAAAAGGAAGACUAGCUCAUCAUCAUCAUUUCAAGUGGAAUUUUCCUUUGGUGGUUAAAUUGUCAACUUUGGGUUAAUUUCAAUUUCACAUUAACCUCACUUGAGAACAACAAUGAAUCUAUUUAAUCUUAUCUGAUACAAUUACGAAUUCAAAAUUUACAAAAUUCAAUAAUCAUUUCAAUGGAAGAGACAAGGAUUCAUGUAUAUUUAUGCAAACAUUUCCAACUUGUGAAGAGAAAGGAAGACAAUCAAUGGAAUCCAAACAAAAGAAAACAAGAAGAUGGAAACGACAACGAAUAUGAUGAAGAAAAAGACCAACUAUUUAUAUAUACACACAUUCUCUUUGGAAGAUGAAAAAAAAUCGAACUCGGAAAAAGACCAUCAACUCAAUAAACUAAUAACAUUUAUGGAGAGAAAAGAAAUGAAAGAAAAAACGUAACAAAAGAUCAUGUGGAAAUAACUGUGAUUUCGCCUUCUACUCUUUUUUACAAUGUCUCCCUAUCUUCUAUUCUCAUCUAUUCGUCUUUUUGUCUUCCUUUCAUCAUCAUCAUUCCCUUUUCUUCCUCAUCCUUUUUUCUAUUUUUUUUUCUCAUCUUCCAUAUACAGUAUAUUUACCAUCUCUAUUAUCACUCUUUCCCUUUUCUCUCUCUCUCUCUCUUUUCAGUGUUAUCUUUUUACGCUUUUUAUUGUGUUCAGAAUCAUCAUCAUCAUUAUCAUCCUGAUCAACAACACAAACAUGAUCCAGUUACUUUGAGAAGAUACUUAUGUAAACAUAGCGCAAAGUGUAAAUUGUUGGAUAACAGAAACAACUAAUUACUCCCAAUCAAGAUUUCCAAUUGUAACAAUCGAUGAUCUAACUGGACUACACUUGACUCUUUAUACAAAUUGACAUUUGAAUCUUUUGAUUGUUACCUGGAACUGAUGUUGUAAAACCUUUAGCACCAAUAUUUUGUUUACCUUUAAAUAGUUUUGGUGACAUGAUUAUCACGAAAGUGCUGAAAGUUAAAGGUACAAAAAUCGUGGUCAUUUAUAAGUAACGGUCAGUAGAUGUACUUGAUUCCUUUCAAAACAAUCAAUCGAUACUUUCACUCCCUUAUAAUUCACAUUGGCAAAUUCUCUCUUCCUCUCUCCAUCUUUCUCCUUCUAAUUAGAGGAGGUGGUUGACUGAGAGAGAAUCCAAGUCUUUCCAUUGACCAUUUAGAUGUGUGAAAAAUGACCCUAAAGAUUUGGUAAACUUUGGAUCCACGAAAAAAAUGUCAACAUUAUUAUUCACAUAACAAAUUCAUAAUACAAAAAAUAAUAUGUAAUAUUUACCAUGUACAGUUAUGUGUGUCUUUCAAUUGGAAGGCAAAUAGACAACAAUUGAAUUGAUGUAUUAGUUGUUAACUGUGAACAGAUUAUCAUGAUCAUCAAUCUUUCCAUGGUGAACUGAUUUGUCUCCAUCCUAUUAACUAAGGCACCAUUGAGAACAUCAUUCCAACACAAUUAAUAAUUUUGAAAACCCAUUUGAUUGAGUUAACAGAAACGUGAUUGAAGAUUAAACAAACAAGCACAAAAAUGACCACAAGAUGACCACCAUUACCAUCAUAAUAAAUUGGAAAGGAUUAAUUUAAUAGACUCAAUUCUCGUGCAAUUAAAAAUUGAACCAACAAAACGAAUGGACAAUCAGUAAUCAAAUUGAUACGAUCAAACUAUUCUAAUAGUAAAAAUGAAGUGAAAGUAAACAAUCAACUAUUUACUGAUUGUAAAUCGAUCAUCAUUUUUUUUUUGAUGAAUAUUAUUAUGUAAACACAAUUGGUAUUAUGAUGAUGAUGAUGAUGAUGAUGAUUAUCAUUUAUUAUGAUUGUAGAUUCAUAUCAAGAAUAUAUUAUUACAUGUAAUAUGUACACUCGUUGAUUACAUUUGAUGUGUUGGUUAAUAAUGUUAUGCAUAAUCAAUGAGGUUGAUUGUUGUUGGUAAACAGAGUAUCUCUCAUAUAAAUGAGUAUUGUAUCUUGAAUACAAUUGUGAUUGAAGACCCAAAUAGUUAUCAAAUAAUGAACCAUCUCAAUUAUCAUCAUUUUCAUUUACAAUUAACCAAUGAAUCUUGGUGAAAACCCUAAAUUGUCACCAUCACCACCAAUGGACCCAUGGACCCAACAAUAUAAUGGACAAUCAAAUAAUGAAUUGCAAUAGGAAACCAACAUUUCUCAUGACAGGUCAACCAGAAAGUAACUUGAUAAAAGCUUUUUUUUUAUAUGAUAUAAACUCUUGGCCGGACAAUCAUUAUAUUCUUGACCAUAAUUGUGAUGACAAAAGAUGAUGUGUUGAUAAUGAUUAGGAUAUUAAUUGUGAUAGCGUGACUUUUGUUUAUUGUUUAAAUAUUUCAUUCUUACUUUAAUUAUAUCAACUGAAUUUAUUUUGUGAUUUUUUUAUUACCUUUUCUAGAUUAACUAACAAUUAACUGGACAAUCAGUAGAUUAGCUGAUUGAAAGUGUUGGAAAAACAAUAAUUAUUACCACAAUUGAUUAAUAAUCAAUGAAAAUUUUUCGUUCCUCUCUCAAAAUGAUCAACAAUCAAUUGGAUUGGCAAAAACUGAAUUAACUUUUUCCCUCAUUUGAUUUAUUAAAAUCUCUAUCUCAAUGGUAAAUAUAACAAUGUCUCUAAUUGUUUAAUC